RNAcentral lists this ribosomal RNA (510 nucleotides) under uncultured bacterium. RNAcentral's name for it is "partial 16S ribosomal RNA". It matches the Rfam family "Bacterial small subunit ribosomal RNA", at positions 28 to 507 of the family's 1533-position model. The record is from RNAcentral.
GACGAACGCUGGCGGCGUGCUUAACACAUGCCAGUCGAACGAAGAGCGAUGGAAGCUUGCUUCUAUCAAUCUUAGUGGCGAACGGGUGAGUAACGCGUAAUCAACCUGCCCUUCAGAGGGGGACAACAGUUGGAAACGACUGCUAAUACCGCAUACGAUCUAACCUCGGCAUCGAGGAAAGAUGAAAGGUGGCCUCUAUGUAUAAGCUAUCACUGAAGGAGGGGAUUGCGUCUGAUUAGCUAGUUGGAGGGGUAACGGCCCACCAAGGCGAUGAUCAGUAGCCGGUCUGAGAGGAUGAACGGCCACAUUGGGACUGAGACACGGCCCAGACUCCUACGGGAGGCAGCAGUGGGGAAUCUUCCGCAAUGGACGAAAGUCUGACGGAGCAACGCCGCGUGAGUGAUGACGGCCUUCGGGUUGUAAAGCUCUGUUAAUCGGGACGAAAGGCCUUCUUGCGAAUAGUGAGAAGGAUUGACGGUACCGGAAUAGAAAGCCACGGCUAACUACGUG